This is a non-coding RNA of Arabidopsis thaliana (thale cress), 178 nucleotides long. The record is from RefSeq. NCBI's taxonomy places the organism in Eukaryota, Viridiplantae, Streptophyta, Magnoliopsida, Brassicales, Brassicaceae.
GGUUUGCUUAACACGGCCUUAAAACUAAUAUAGUACUUUUUAUCUUCUUGAAAAUUUGUUACUAAUUUGGAAUGAAUUAGCUAAAUGGCUAAGCUAAUUUAUACCAAAUUAAUAGCAAAGUUUGAAGAACAUGAACAAUGUACAAUACUAGUGUUAAAGCCUAUGCAAAGCAUGAGCC